This 468-nucleotide ribosomal RNA is filed under the name uncultured bacterium. Its description in RNAcentral is "bacterial SSU rRNA". It matches the Rfam family "Bacterial small subunit ribosomal RNA", at positions 355 to 825 of the family's 1533-position model. The record is from RNAcentral.
UGAGGAAUAUUGGACAAUGGGCGCAAGCCUGAUCCAGCCAUGCCGCGUGCAGGAUGACGGUCCUAUGGAUUGUAAACUGCUUUUGUACAGGAAGAAACAGUUCUACGUGUAGAACCUUGACGGUACUGUAAGAAUAAGGAUCGGCUAACUCCGUGCCAGCAGCCGCGGUAAUACGGAGGAUCCAAGCGUUAUCCGGAAUCAUUGGGUUUAAAGGGUCCGUAGGCGGUUAGAUAAGUCAGUGGUGAAGGCCCAUCGCUCAACGGUGGAACGGCCAUUGAUACUGUCUGACUUGAAUUAUUAGGAAGUAACUAGAAUAUGUAGUGUAGCGGUGAAAUGCUUAGAGAUUACAUGGAAUACCAAUUGCGAAGGCAGGUUACUACUAAUGGAUUGACGCUGAUGGACGAAAAGCGUGGGUAGCGAACAGGAUUAGAUACCCAUGUAGUCCCUGAGCGGGCUGGCAAGGCGCAU